RNAcentral lists this ribosomal RNA (586 nucleotides) under uncultured freshwater bacterium. RNAcentral describes it as "bacterial SSU rRNA". It matches the Rfam family "Bacterial small subunit ribosomal RNA", at positions 8 to 607 of the family's 1533-position model. The record is from RNAcentral.
AGAGUUUGAUCCUGGCUCAGGAUGAACGCUAGCGGCGGGCUUAAUACAUGCAAGUCAAGGGGUAGCAAUACACCGGCGUACGGGUGCGUAACGCGUAUGGAACCUGCCCUUAUCUGGGGGAUAACUCGGGGAAACUCGAGCUAAUACCGCAUAAGAUAGUAGAAUGGCAUCAUUCAGCUAUUAAAGAUUUAUUGGAUAAGGAUGGCCAUGCGUAAGAUUAGAUAGUUGGCGAGGUAACGGCUCACCAAGUCUACGAUCUUUAGGGGCUCUGAGAGGAGAAUCCCCCACACUGGCACUGAGAUACGGGCCAGACUCCUACGGGAGGCAGCAGUAGGGAAUAUUGGGCAAUGGGCGGAAGCCUGACCCAGCCACGCCGCGUGCAGGAAGACGGCCCUCUGGGUUGUAAACUGCUUUUAACUGGGAAGAAAAGAGGCCUUGCGAGGCAAGUUGACGGUACCAGUUGAAUAAGCCACGGCUAACUACGUGCCAGCAGCCGCGGUAAUACGUAGGUGGCGAGCGUUAUCCGGAUUUAUUGGGUUUAAAGGGAGCGUAGGCGGCUGAUUAAGUCAGCGGAGAAAGGUAGCAG